Long non-coding RNA from Hippocampus comes (tiger tail seahorse), 815 nucleotides. RefSeq lists it as uncharacterized. The record is from RefSeq and is a predicted model, not a curated record. Lineage: Eukaryota; Metazoa; Chordata; Actinopteri; Syngnathiformes; Syngnathidae. The transcript has 2 exons.
UGAUACAUCACGUUCGUAUCAAUGCUUUUAAUAGGCCCAAAGCUCAGAAGGGGAGGUGGAAAUUAUUGGUCGCCAAUCUCCAUAUGUAGGUUUGGAAGUUUUUUUUUCAUGUUUUUUUUCUAAUACGACUUACUGUGUAUUGGUCAUUUUGCAGACCCUCUCGCGCACCGCCAUCCGAUAACCCCCGUAGUGUAAUGUCAGGACUGCACCCCCACUGUGGUCUGUGAACAGUUCACUUGAGUGCUUCCUGCUGUGCACACAUAACACUGUAUUGUACACACGGAAGCACUAUGCAUAAUGAAUUGUGCUUUCAGACUUGAUCACAACUUGAAUCUCUUUUUCCAGUGACUCCUCAGAAGGCUUUGAUCAAACCAACCAACCUGACAGUUACCUUCAAGGUCCGUGGCAGUAACCUGACUGCAGUCUUCAACUGGCAUGUGCCCGCCGGACCAUCUCGGCGUCAAUUGACUGGUUACCAGGUGACCCUGGUGGAGGUCACGCCAACCAAUCGACUCAGAGAUGACAACAUCUCCCAUUCGCAGAUCUUAACCCCGGACGUUAACGUUCUGGCAGUUUCGGACAUACGCCCCGCCAGUGUCUACCGGUUGGAUAUCCGGGCUAUCGCUGCAGACGGCGAAGGUCCAGCCAUCAGCAGAACCUUCCAGACUCCAGAAUUCCAACAUGUGCUAAGGUCUAGGAAAUACGAUUGAUAAUCAAGCAAGAUGAGGAAUAGUGCUGCAAUUAGUCAGUCGCUCAGAGGAGCUGACCUGACAGCUAUUUUGGGAUGCGAAAGCAUUCAAGGUGGUGUUAAGCCU